GAUGAACGCUGGCGGCGUGCUUAACACAUGCAAGUCGAACGGAAAGGCUCCUGCUUGCAGGGGUACUCGAGUGGCGAACGGGUGAGUAACACGUGGGUGAUCUGCCCUGCACUUCGGGAUAAGCCUGGGAAACUGGGUCUAAUACCGGAUAGGACGAUGGUUUGGAUGCCGUUGUGGAAAGUUUUUUCGGUGUGGGAUGAGCUCGCGGCCUAUCAGCUUGUUGGUGGGGUAAUGGCCUACCAAGGCGUCGCCGGGUAGCCGGCCUGAGAGGGUGUACGGCCACAUUGGGACUGAGAUACGGCCCAGACUCCUACGGGAGGCAGCGGUGGGGAAUAUUGCACAAUGGGCGCAAGCCUGAUGCAGCGAAGCCGCGUGGGGGAUGACGGCCUUCGGGUUGUAAACUCCUUUCGCUAGGGACGAAGCGCAAGUGACGGUACCUGGAGAAGAAGCACCGGCUAACUACGUG
Molecule: ribosomal RNA, 466 nt
Filed under: uncultured bacterium
Lineage: Bacteria
Description: partial 16S ribosomal RNA
Rfam family: Bacterial small subunit ribosomal RNA
Source: RNAcentral